UUUGAUUCUAACCUGACCUUCCAACAGAUAUGUCACAGGAAAGAGAGCUACAAGCAAAGCAAAUACCCAUGGUAGCAGCUUUGUGCUUGAAGCAGAUGGAAAAUGGGUGAAGACGACAAACACAGAGGUGAACAAACACACAAGUGCAGACCAUGGUGACAACAAUGAGAGCAUGCAGAACUGCAGCUUGCAGGAAGUACUUGGCUGAUAUAUAUAUUCCAAGAGCAACCCCAAUAGCGAUUGAGUAAAAUGCCCUUAGCUCUACCAUGUACUUUAUGGGUAUUAUAGAUGUCACGGCUGCUAAAGUGAGCAGAAUUGCCACAAUAAGCAGCCAAGAUGGCCAGGUAGGUUUUGAUGCCAUGAAGCCAUAGAUGGAGAUGUCAUCAGAAGAUUGACGAGCUGCUUUAAUUAUGUCAGAAUGAUAAGUCCAUGCCAAUGGGAUUGGCGGCUGCAUUAAAAUAAACAAUGCACCAGUUGCCACCACUAGCACUAGGCAUCUCUUAGCGGACAAGACAUGAGAGAAGUGCAGAGCAACGAUUGGUACACAAGCCAAUCCUGUCAAGACAAUACAGAAGCCCAAAAGUAAACCAUCAGAAGGAGGCCUCCCAUUCCACCAUUGUAGAGCUUCAAAAAUGGUUUCACGGCAAAACCAAACUGACAGAGCAACCACACCAGCAUGUACAUAACCUUGCCAUGGUUUCAUCUUUGAGGCUGUUCGCGACUUAUCCUUGUAAAGAAGUAAUGGGGGAGAGACAGCCAGUAAUAGUACAGCAGAAACCCAUACAACAGAUUUUGAUGAAAUAAACAGCAUGGCCAACUUCGAAGGAUAUAGGCAUGUCAAAAUCCAAACUGCCUUGAGUCUAAUUCGAUGAUCCACAGAUAGUCUUCUCACCAAAGCCAAACCAACAAAAGUUGUCAUAAUAACCAUAUAGCUUGGGUACAUCACUUCAUCAUCCAAUCCGUAGAAGUAUAUGCCCAAGUUAUUAAAAAAUCGAUUCUCAAUAUAGCAUAACAGCAACGCAUGGCUGAUCAAGCCAAGCUCAACUAAAAAAUGAAAUUUUGAUGGAAGAAGAGC
Molecule: unclassified non-coding RNA, 1075 nt
Filed under: Hevea brasiliensis (rubber tree)
Lineage: Eukaryota; Viridiplantae; Streptophyta; Magnoliopsida; Malpighiales; Euphorbiaceae
Source: RNAcentral